Molecule: RNA transcript, 4762 nt
Organism: Eriocheir sinensis (Chinese mitten crab)
Lineage: Eukaryota; Metazoa; Arthropoda; Malacostraca; Decapoda; Varunidae
Exons: 6
Source: RefSeq, a predicted model, not a curated record
UCGAGAAUCAUCCUGUUCUAGACGACAGCGGGAGACGGGCACGCAUGGCCUCACUGACUGGCCCCGUGGCUGAAGAGGCUGUGUCCCCUUCAGCAGUGCACGUGAAAGUGGACAUCAAGCACUGAGACCCAGGUGGAGGACGCGCUGAAGGGGAGAGCGAAAAAAGAAAAGUGGAUUAAAGAAAGAAGGCGACCAGGGAAACAAAAGACGACUUGCAGACACAUAAAAAAAACAUACAUAAGAAUAAGAGUUGGGAAUGUAUAUAUAUAAAACACAAUAGACUAAGAAAUACAAAAGAAAAAGUAAAUUUGAGAGAAGAAACAAACAAAGCCCGAACUGUGAAGCCUCGAAGCAGUGAGUCACAAGAAGAAGAAGAGGAAGACAAACCAAGAUGGAGUCGGGGUGGACGAGCCAGGAAGUGCAAUCUCUCGUGUUUUCUUGCUCUAAAACUCUACCAAGAUGUCUGAAGAUGAGGAAAGUGUGAGGAUAAAGAAGUCUAAAGGCUGAACAAGCUAUAUAGAGGCGGAAACCAACCAGGAGUGCCCAGAAUGGCGGCUAGAACAGGAUGAAUUUGCUGCCUGUGAAGACCAACACAAGAGUAAUUAAGAUAAGAACUGGACAACUCAGCGAGAUCUACGGCUGCCCUCCUACGAUGCCUCUCAGAUCAGGACCCGAAGGAGAGAUUAUAUUAAAGAGUCAAGGAUCAACACCUCACCGCUCCUGUCAACCUCAUGUUCAGCGGCCUACAGUGACCUUCCUUGCAACACACAAUCACAGGUAAACAGGUACUUUUUCGGUACAUCUGACGAGGCUUUGGUGGGGGUUGUGUUAGUGUGUCCAAGGGUAGAGUUGAGAGGAUAGUUUGUCAAGGCUUCAGGAGAUAAUAGACUUUUCUCCUUGGAACACACAAUCACAGGGAGCCAGGCAGUUUUUCGGCCCAUCUGACGAGGUUCUGGUGGAGGUUGUGUUAGUGUGUCCAUGGGUAGUGUUGAGAGGAUAGUUUGUGAAGGCUUUAAGAGAGGUUAGACUUUCCUUCUUGCAACACACAAUCACAGGUAACCAGGGAUUUUUGUGGACCAAAUUCCCAAGCAUUUCAAGGCUUACACAGUGACGAGGCUUUGGUGGAGGCUGUGUUAGUGUGUCCAUGGGUAGAGUUGUAGCCUUGUGAUAGUUAAAGGCUUUACGAGGCGUUGAUAGUACACCAGGUAUUCGUGUUAGGCGAGGGUUAUGUUCUGCAAAAAGCUCGCAUAUAUUGAACCUAUCCUCCCAUUAAUUAUAGAGGGUUAUGUUCCACCCGUUUUCGAACCCUCUAACUAUUUAUUCCGGCACCGUUUCACAAUAAUACAGCAACAGUAAAGCACAUUGAUAGUUUCCGGGGAGACACACACAGAGUCCACGAUUUAAGCUGAUAAUUAGCUACCUGGGGAUUAACUUUAGGAUCGGAGGGAGGGAAAGGUUGAUUAUAGGCGAGGAAAGUGCAGGAAAACACGCACUUGCUGCCCUCUAGUGUGAGUCUGCCAUACCAUACCGAUACUUGCAUAAUAGUGAAUUUUUCUCGCAUAAAACGAAUACUUGGCACAUUUAGGUUAGUCGCAUACGAGCGGAUUCGCAUAUUCCGAACUUGCAUAUAUCAAAUACCUGGUGUGUGUCGAACGUUCCUAAGAUGUUGUUAGUAUAUUGAACGCUACUUACACUACUUCCUUUCCCCUACAGCCACACGCCAAGCCAGGAUCGCCAGACACAUCCUCGCACCUCUCACGCCCUGCCAAGCCUCGUCACCCCAUUCACAAGUGGUUGACAGACCCUCCCUUCAGCCCAGUGCACAGACGUCGAGGUGGCAGCUCCCGCAAAUGACUCGGUAACGCGCAUUCUUUUCUAUCUUCAUGUGUGUCUUUUCUCUUUGUCCGAUUUGGGUUCACGGUGCCUCAGGGUGACGCCUCAACACCCAGCCUUCCUUGACUUUUUCCGGGGGUGUAGGUCAACAGAAGGGAGUGUUAUUUAAGGUAUAGGCGAAGUUUAGGGCCUUGGCUAUAUCUGUAUGUGGGUCGUUUUGCCCCUUGAGUCUGUGGGAGGCAGGGCAGUGGGGACAUCCAGGUUACCACAGUGUAUAUUCCCCAGGUCUCCCCAGGUAUGCAUUUAGCCCCCAGCCACGAGGAGCCUGAUCACGGACUGUCCUGGGAUUCAAACCAUGGCCCACGGGUACAUGGCUGGGCUUGCUAACCACUACGCCAGGGAGGUGCUGAGUGGGUACGUUGGGAAUAAGUAUGUGAUCGCCUUCCACGCAGAUGCAAGCCACAACCGCGCAGAGACAAGGUAACGGAGUUCUUGGGUAACCGUCCACUGCGAUCGUCAGGGAUUUUGCCUUCACUGGUAGCCUGGUAACAUACAGUCCCAGGUCUCUCUCUUCUUGAACUUUCUUUAAUAUUUCACCGUCUCCCAUUCUGUAUGUCCAUUUUGGUCUCCCUUUCCCAUUUCCAUUACAUAACAUUUCUUCACAUUGAAUUCCAUCUCCCAUUCCAUACUCCAGUCCCAAAUCUUAUUGAGGUCAUCUUGCAGAAUCUCACAAUCUUUACUGUUUCUUAUAUGUCUCUGCAAACAGGCUUGUAUAACUGUGCUGGAUAUCCCCUCCCAAGGUGCAGGACUUUACAUUUUUCUUCAUUGAAUCGUUGCAGACACUCUUUGUUCCGUUCCUGUAGCUUGGUGAGGUCUGCUGCUGGGAAAUACACAGCCAAGGCGAUGAUCACUUCAAGGCUUUAUUCUUUUCCAGAGUGACCCAUGACUCUGGUAGACUGCUUGGAGGGGGUGUGAUGAUGGGCCUCAGUAUGGUAGCAGGGCAGGCAAGUAUGGGUCAUAUUACUAAGCAUUCCAUCCCCCAAGCACAUACAUUUGACAAGGACAGGUUGAAAAUUGUGUAAUGUUUUCCGUAAGAGUGUCACACAUACAUAUCAAUAGCUCUGUGGUUGGUUACGCUUUUUAAUUCUAGUUUUUGGGGCGGAGAUGUCAGGCAGAUGCGUUGGAAUUUCACAGAAUCGACAUGCGACAAACUCGGUCGUAGAAAUCAACAUAAAAAAUCUACACGGCUCGCUACGCCUUCUGUGGUUGGUUACGCUUUUUAAUUCCAGUUUUUGGGGCGGAGAUGUCAGGCAGAAGCGUUGGAAUUUCACAGAAUCGACAUGCAACAAACUCGGUCAUAGAAAUCAACAUAAAAAAAUCUACACGGCUCUCUACGCCUUGAAAAAAACGGGUAUAGAAAAGACAAUUCAGCCGUAGUUAGUAUUGACGAAAACCACUUUAAAAAUACACGGCAACAGUAAUAGAGGUUGAGUGUGUGUGUGUGUGUGUGUGUGUUAAGGUGACUAAUGCAGUUUUUUUUAUAUAACAGAGACAGCUCAAGGGCACACAAAAAAAGAAAACAAUAAUAUAAAAAAGCCCGCUACUCACUGCUCCUAAAAAGAAUCCAAAGAGGUGGCCGACAGAGGGAUCAAUUUCGGGAGGAGAGGUGUCCUGAUACCCUCCUCUUGAGAGAGUUCCAGUCGUAGGCAGGAGGAAAUACAGAUGAAGGGGUUGAGUGUAUGUGUGUGUGUGUGUGUGUUAAGUUUGAAGGUAUAGCAAACAUGUGGUCCUGCUUGGCUGGUGCGAUUGUUUACUUUGAGAAGAAGCACUCGGCACGUUAUAUCUUUCCUUGUGUGUCUGAGUAGUGAGAAGCGUACAAGAGACAUUGAAUUUAACGGAAGUGUGUCCAAGAACCGUUCAACAUCACAUCAGUCUUUCCAGGAGUUUGUUGACGAUAAAUUUAACUUUACUGCGUCUAAGGAGCACUCAACAUCACACGAGACUUUCUAGUUCGUUGACUGAUUUUAAAGUGUUCAGAAGAGUACGAAAAAACAUCUUUAUAUUUACUUGAGUGUCUAAAGAACUGUUCAACAUCACAUCAGUCUUUCCAGGAGUUUGGCGAUGAAUUUUAACGUAGCGAGAAGAGUACAGAGGAUGUUGAAUUUACCUUACAUGUGUCCAAGAACUGUUCAACAUCACACACGACCUUCCAGGAGUUUGUCGAAGGAUUUUAAAGUAUGGAUACUGUUCAAAGCUUACACAGUGACGAGGCUUUGGUGGAGGCUGUGUUAGUGUGUCCAUGGGUAGUGUUGAGUGGAGAGUUUGUCAAGGCUUUGGUGGAGGUUGUGUUAGUAUGUCCAUGGGUAGUGUUGAGUGGAGAGUUUGUCAAGGCUUUGGUGGAGGCUGUGUUAGUAUGUCCAUGGGUAGUGUUGAGUGGAGAGUUUGUCAAGGCUUUGGUGGAGGUUGUGUUAGUAUGUCCAUGGGUAGUGUUGAGUGGAGAGUUUGUCAAGGCUUUGGUGGAGGCUGUGUUAGUAUGUCCAUGGGUAGUGUUGAGUGGAGAGUUUGUCAAGGCUUUGGUGGAGGUUGUGUUAGUAUGUCCAUGGGUAGUGUUGAGUGGAGAGUUUGUCAAGGCUUUGGUGGAGGUUGUGUUAGUAUGUCCAUGGGUAGUGUUGAGUGGAGAGUUUGUCAAGGCUUCGGGAGAGGUUGUGUUAGUAUGUCCAUGGGUAGUGUUGAGUGGAGAGUUUGUCAAGGCUUUGGUGGAGGUUGUGUUAGUAUGUCCAUGGGUAGUGUUGAGUGGAGAGUUUGUCAAGGCUUUGGUGGAGGUUGUGUUAGUAUGUCCAUGGGUAGUGUUGAGUGGAGAGUUUGUCAAGGCUUUGGUGGAGGUUGUGUUAGUAUGUCCAUGGGUAGUGUUGAGUGGAGAGUUUGUCAA